AGUAACGCGUAUGCGACCUGCCCGUUGCAGGGGGAUAAUCGGGAGAAAUCCCGUCUAAUACCGCGUAAUGCCGCAGGGCUGCAUGGCCCUGCGGCCAAAGGGAGCGAUUCCGGCAACGGAUGGGCAUGCGUGACAUUAGCUAGUUGGCGGGGCAACGGCCCACCAAGGCGACGAUGUCUAGGGGUUCUGAGAGGAAGGUCCCCCACACUGGUACUGAGACACGGACCAGACUCCUACGGAAGGCAGCAG
RNAcentral lists this ribosomal RNA (249 nucleotides) under uncultured bacterium. RNAcentral's name for it is "partial 16S ribosomal RNA". It matches the Rfam family "Bacterial small subunit ribosomal RNA", at positions 109 to 354 of the family's 1533-position model. The record is from RNAcentral.